This 77-nucleotide small nucleolar RNA is filed under the name Giardia duodenalis ATCC 50581. RNAcentral's name for it is "Giardia intestinalis ATCC 50581 snoRNA H/ACA box, putative". Lineage: Eukaryota; Fornicata; Diplomonadida; Hexamitidae. RNAcentral also lists the same sequence under 1 other name. The record is from RNAcentral.
UCGCGUUCUGCCAGAUACGCCGAUAGAAAGCAACAAGGAAGGACGUGGUUUCCAUGUCUGCCAUGUGCGCGCAUAUC